Molecule: ribosomal RNA, 79 nt
Filed under: Candidatus Acetothermia bacterium
Lineage: Bacteria; Candidatus Bipolaricaulota
Description: partial 23S ribosomal RNA
Source: RNAcentral
ACAAGCGCAGUAAGGGCAAAUGGUGGACACCUUGGUAGCUGAAAGCGAUGAAGGACGUGGCUAGCUGCGAUAAGCCUCG